AUUCCCCUGCAGUGUUCGCCAAGGCCAUACAUUCCUUGAACCAAUGACUUGGCAUAGGCCGCGGACCACAGCGUCACUUUUGUGAGCGUCCCAUCGUCGGAUGCACCUGCGGUGACCGGAAAGCGGCCGCUCUGGACCUCAGGUUCAGGAUGCCGGCCUAGCGGCACAGGCGGGGGAUCC
Molecule: non-coding RNA, 180 nt
Filed under: Rhodocyclaceae bacterium
Lineage: Bacteria; Pseudomonadati; Pseudomonadota; Betaproteobacteria; Rhodocyclales; Rhodocyclaceae
Also listed under: 1 other name
Description: 6S RNA
Rfam family: 6S / SsrS RNA
About the family: E. coli 6S RNA was the first non coding RNA to be sequenced, but its function was unknown until recently.
Source: RNAcentral